This 497-nucleotide ribosomal RNA is filed under the name uncultured bacterium. Its description in RNAcentral is "partial 16S ribosomal RNA". It matches the Rfam family "Bacterial small subunit ribosomal RNA", at positions 28 to 507 of the family's 1533-position model. The record is from RNAcentral.
GAUGAACGCUGGCGGCGUGCCUAAUACAUGCAAGUCGAGCGAACAGAUGAGGAGCUUGCUCCUCUGACGUUAGCGGCGGACGGGUGAGUAACACGUGGAUAACCUACCUAUAAGACUGGGAUAACUUCGGGAAACCGGAGCUAAUACCGGAUAAUAUAUUGAACCGCAUGGUUCAAUAGUGAAAGACGGUUUUGCUGUCACUUAUAGAUGGAUCCGCGCCGCAUUAGCUAGUUGGUAAGGUAACGGCUUACCAAGGCAACGAUGCGUAGCCGACCUGAGAGAGUGAUCGGCCACACUAGAACUGAGACACGGUCCAGAAUCCUACGGGAGGCAGCAGUAGGGAAUCUUCCGCAAUGGGCGAAAGCCUGACGGAGCAACGCCGCGUGAGUGAUGAAGGUCUUCGGAUCGUAAAACUCUGUUAUUAGGGAAGAACAAAUGUGUAAGUAACUAUGCACGUCUUGACGGUACCUAAUCAGAAAGCCACGGCUAACUACGUG